GAUCCAGUAGCUCAGCAGGCAGAGCACCUGCCUUUUAAGCAGGGUGUCCCGGGUUCGAAUCCCGGCUGGGUCACCA
Molecule: transfer RNA, 76 nt
Filed under: Clostridiales bacterium
Lineage: Bacteria; Bacillati; Bacillota; Clostridia; Eubacteriales
Description: tRNA-Lys
Rfam family: tRNA
About the family: Transfer RNA (tRNA) molecules are approximately 80 nucleotides in length. Their secondary structure includes four short double-helical elements and three loops (D, anti-codon, and T loops).
Source: RNAcentral